GUCGAACGCUGAAGCCGCUUUCGGGUGGUGGAUGAGUGGCGAACGGGUGAGUAACACGUGGGCAAUCUGCCCUGUACUUCGGGAUAAGCCUUGGAAACGGGGUCUAAUACCGGAUAGGACACUGCUUCGCAUGGGGUGGUGUGGAAAGCUUCGGCGGUAUGGGAUGAGCCCGCGGCCUAUCAGCUUGUUGGUGGGGUGAUGGCCUACCAAGGCGACGACGGGUAGCCGGCCUGAGAGGGUGACCGGCCACACUGGGACUGAGACACGGCCCAGACUCCUACGGGAGGCAGCAGUGGGGAAUAUUGCACAAUGGGCGGAAGCCUGAUGCAGCGACGCCGCGUGAGGGAUGACGGCCUUCGGGUUGUAAACCUCUUUCGCCCGGGACGAAGCGUAACAGUGACGGUACCGGGAGAAGAAGCACCGGCUAACUACGUGCCAGCAGCCGCGGUAAUACGUAGGGUGCAAGCGUUGUCCGGAAUUAUUGGGCGUAAAGAGCUCGUAGGCGGUGUGUCACGUCUGCCGUGAAAACCUGCGGCUUAACCGUGGGCGUGCGGUGGAUACGGGCAUCACUUGAGUUCGGCAGGGGAGACUGGAAUUCCUGGUGUAGCGGUGGAAUGCGCAGAUAUCAGGAGGAACACCGGUGGCGAAGGCGGGUCUCUGGGCCGAUACUGACGCUGAGGAGCGAAAGCGUGGGGAGCGAACAGGAUUAGAUACCCUGGUAGUCCACGCCGUAAACGUUGGGCGCUAGGUGUGGGACGCUGUUCACGCGUUCCGUGCCGUAGCUAACGCAUUAAGCGCCCCGCCUGGGGGAGUACGGCCGCAAGGCUAAAACUCAAAGGAA
RNAcentral lists this ribosomal RNA (841 nucleotides) under Saccharomonospora sp. 41614. RNAcentral's name for it is "bacterial SSU rRNA". It matches the Rfam family "Bacterial small subunit ribosomal RNA", at positions 61 to 909 of the family's 1533-position model. The record is from RNAcentral. Lineage: Bacteria; Bacillati; Actinomycetota; Actinomycetes; Pseudonocardiales; Pseudonocardiaceae.